This 835-nucleotide unclassified non-coding RNA is filed under the name Hevea brasiliensis (rubber tree). Lineage: Eukaryota; Viridiplantae; Streptophyta; Magnoliopsida; Malpighiales; Euphorbiaceae. The record is from RNAcentral.
GGAAAAACCAUUUCCACCGGAAAACAAUAACAAUGCAUGCUUUUGUUGCCCACCAUCCAAUUCAACAUAUAUAUAUAUAAAAUCAUCCAACUUGUCCUGUAAACACUUAAUUCAACAAAAGUCAAUAUAAUUUCAUCCAACACUACUGAAACUGCCUGGUCAAGCACAUUAUAAAGCUCAUUCUUUAAAAGCUGCAAUUAAAACUAUGGUUAUGUACACUGAGGUCUACUGCUUUAUUGAUAUUUGUGGGCUGUGGCUUCCUAUAUGUGAGGUGGAUUUACUGUAUACUAAAAUCCGAAUAUAGACAAGAAACAAAAGUUUCGUUCCUGGAGAAAGUAGAUACAAUUCCCUGGCUUCAAGUUGCUUGUGUACUGACUAGAAAAACUUCAAAAUUUUCUUUUCUUGGCAGAAAAAACCUGGCAAAUAGCAUCAGUCAGAAAAACUGCUUCUUCAGGGCUCUGAUCAGUCUUCCAUACCUUGAAUUUCAAUUCUGAGUAGCUAGUAUCACUCCAUUGCUUAAGCACUGACAUUGAGUAAGGCCCCCUUUUGAUACCAUGUGGACUCACAACAUACCAUAUAGAAGAAUCCAGGUCAUCUGGUGUUUGCUUGCUUUUUGCAAUAUUUGUAUCUUGCUCUUCAUCAUUUCUUAAUUCAAUCAACUCCAUUUGUGGUUCACUUUGCAUGUUCUUCACCUUUUCAUGUUCAACAUCCACUGGUUUCUCUUGCUUUUCUCCUGAAGUAGAAGGCUGAUAUUGCUGUCCUGAACCAGAGGCAAUGGGUUGACCUUGUGGAAUGGAAGCAAGCAAUUGUCCUGAUAUAAGUUCAGGAUGAGAUC